Long non-coding RNA from Oncorhynchus keta (chum salmon), 5112 nucleotides. RefSeq lists it as uncharacterized. NCBI's taxonomy places the organism in Eukaryota, Metazoa, Chordata, Actinopteri, Salmoniformes, Salmonidae. The record is from RefSeq and is a predicted model, not a curated record. The transcript has 3 exons.
CUUCAGCACAUCCUUCAGGGCCUGGCCGAUGUACAUCACCAUCUGGAGGAGAGGAGAGAAUGAGAAGAGAGAAGAGGAGGAGAAUAUAAGGGCAGAGGACAGGAAAAGAGGAGGCGGAGAGGAGGGUGACUUACAGUCCAGAUGUUGACAAGGCGUCUGCAGAGGAAGGGGUCCAGGUUCCAGUGUAAGCAAGGAGGGAAGGUGAUGUAGAAGACCUCGUGACCCAGCCCGGCCGACACCAGGAACAGGAAGUAUAGCAGCCGGUUCCUCACCUCAUACUGGGGACUAGCAGACACCUGUGGGCACUUCUAUUUCCAGGAGUCACCAUCAGGACCGUCAAUGUGUGAUGGAGGGAAAAGAGAAACAGAAGCACGUCUGAUCCAGUUGUGACAUCAUCCUCAUCCGCGCCAGCUUCAUCGUGAUGGUGUCGACAGAGAUGUCAGCAUAGCGAAUAGCUCUGAAGCAACUCUGCACUAUUUUGUUUGUUUAUGUACUAUUUUUUUACGUUAUUAGCUCAAUAAUUGUUUUGUGUCAUACACACAGCCGGGAAGAACUUUUGGAUAUUAGAGUGUGGAUAACUCACCAGAACUUCUAGCAUUACAACCCGGAUUACGACUUCUCUGGAGCGGAUCCCUUGUUUGCUCUCCCCAGAGCAAUCUAACUUAUUCCGGAUGCUGACCCAAAACCACGCCGGAGAAGGAGAGGUACUCGAGGCGGUCUUCUGGUCUGACUUAAGAAGCAUGCACACCACCCACCGCUCCUGAGUAUUUUACACGCUAAUGUCCAAUCUCUGGAUAAUAAAAUUGAUGAGCUCAAGGCGAUAGUUUCUUUUCAGAGAGACACCAGGGAUUGUAACGUACUCUACUGCACGGAAAAAUGGCUUUCUCAAGAUAUACUGUCUGACAUGGUAAAACCAGUUGGUUUAUCAGUACAUCGCGCCGACAGGAACAAACAUCUCUCUGGGAAGCAGAAGGGUGGAGGUAUAUGUUUUAUGAUUAAUCACUUAUGGUGUCACUGUUCUGUUCACCCGAUCUAGAAAAUCUCACAAUUAAAUGCAGAGCGUACAAUCUCCUGAGAGAAUUUUUGUCAAUAAUAGCAACUGCGGUCUAUAUCCUCUCCAAGCGGAUACCACAAAGGCCCUCAAAGAACUUCACUGGACUUUAUGCAAACUGGAAUCCAUAUAUCCUGAGGCUGCAUUGUCACGUUCGCUGGAAUAAUUAUCGGACCAAGCUGCAGCGCGAUAUGGUUUCCACAUAUUAUUUAUUAGAAACGCACAAAACAACAAAGAAAGAAUGAAACAAACAACGAACUGUAACAAUAACGUGUAACAUACACUAACUCAAAACAAUAUCCCAUAAAAAUGUAAAAAAUGCUCUUUAUCUAUUAUCCCCAAUUAGAGACAACGAGAGCCAGCUGCCUCUAAUUGGGAAUCAUACCAAAUACCAACAUAGAAAAAAUUAACUAGAACCCCACAUAGAAAAUAAUAACUAGAAAACCCCUCAGUCACGCCUUGACCUACUAUACCAUAGAAAAUAAGGGCUCUCUAUGGUCAGGACGUGGCAUGCAUUUAUUGUAGCUGGGGAUUUGAACAAAGCACAUUUUUGGAAAAGGGUCCCGAAAUUCUAUCAACAUAUGAAUUGUUGUGCUCGCGCUGCUAAAACCCUCGACCAUUGUUAUACUACCUUCCAGAAUGCAUAUAAGGCCCUCCCUCACCCUUCAUUCAUCAAAUUGGACCAAAAUUCCAUCUUGCUCCUCCCCUCCUAUAAGCAGAAACUCAAACAGGAAGCACCUGUGGUGAGGACUAUUCAAUGCUGGUCUGACCAAUUGGAAUCCACACUUCAAGAUUGUUUUGAUCACGUGGACUGGGAUAUGUUCAGAGUAGCUUCAGAAAAUAAUAUUGACACAUAUACCGAUACGGUGAAUGAGUUUAUCAGGAAAUGCAUAAGAGAUGAUGUACCCACUGUGACUAUUAAAACCUACCCCAGCCAGAAACCGUGGACAGAUUGGAGCAUUCAUGCAAAACUGAAAGCGUGAAACACCACAUUUAACCAGGGCAAGAAGACUGGGAAUAUGGAAGAAUACACACAGUGUAGUUAUUUCCUCCACAAAGCAAUCAAGCAGGCUAAACGUCGGUAUAGGGACAAAGUUGAGUCCCAGUUCAAAGGCUCAGACACGAGACGUAUGUGGCAGGUUCUACAGACAAUCACAGAUUAUAAAGGGAAAACCAACCACGUCGCGGACACCGACGUCUUGCUUCCGGACAAGCUGAAAACCUUCUUCGCUCCAUAGUACUGUGCCACCGACGCAGCCCGCUAAUCAAGGACUGUGGGCUUGUCUUCUCUGUGGCCGACGUGAGUAAGACAUUUAAGCGUGUUAACCCUUGCAAGGCUGAUGGUAUCCCUUGCCGUGUCCUCAGAGCAUGCGCAGACCAGCUGUCUGGUGUGUUCACAGAUAUAUUCAAUCUCUCCCUAUCCCAGUCUGUUGUCCCCACAUGCUUCAAGAUGACCACCAUAGUCUCUGUACCUAAGAAAGCAAAGGUAACUGAACUAAAUGACUAUCGCCCAGUAGCACUCACCUCUGUCAUCAUGAAGUGCUUUGAGAGACUAGUCAAGGAUCAUAUCACCUCUACCUUACCUGCCACCCUAGACCUGCUUCAAUUUGCUUACCACCCCAACAGAUCCACAGACAAUGCAAUUGCCACCACACUGCACACUGCCCUGUCCCAUCUGGACAAGAGGCAUACAUAUGUAAGAAUGCUGUUCAUUGACUAUAGCUCAGCAUUCAACAAAAUAGUACCCUCCAAGCUCAUCAUCAAGCUCGAGGCCCUGUGUGAACCCCACCCUAUUUAACUGGGUCCUGGACUUCCUGACAGGUCGCCCCCAGGUGGUGAAGGUAGGAAACCACACCUCCUCUUCGCUGAUCCUCACCCCACAAGGGUGCAUGCUCAGCCCCCUCCUGCACUCCCUGUUCACCCAUGACUGCGUGGCCAAGCACGCCUCCAACUCAAUCAUCAAAUUUGCAGACGACAGAACAGUAGUAGGCUUGAUUACCAACAAUGAUGAGACCGCCUGUAGGGAGGAGGUGAGGGCUCUGGGAGUGUGGUGCCAGGAAAAUAACCUCUCACUCAAUGUCAACAAUACUAAGGAGAUGAUUGUGAACUUCAGGAAACAGCAGAGGGAGCACCCCCCUAUCCACAUCAAUGGGACAGCAGUGGAGAAGGUGGAAAGCUUCAAGUUCCUUCGCGUACACAUCACUGACAAACUGAAAUGGUCCACCCACACAGAUAGUGUGGUGAAGAAGGCGCAACAGUGCCUCUUUAACCUCAGGAGGCUAAAGAAAUGUGGCUUAAAACCUUAAACCCUUACAAACUUUUACAGAUGCACAACCGAGAGCAUCUUGUCGGGCUGUAUCACUGCCUGGUACAGCAACUUCCCCGCCCACAAGUGCAAAUCUCUCCAGAGGGUGGUGCGAUCUGCCCAGUUCAUUACUGGGGGCAAACUUUCCACCCUCCAGGACAGCUACAGCACCCGAUGCCAUAGGAAGGACAAAAAUAUCAUCAAGGAUAUCAACCACCCGAGGCACUGCCUGUUCACCCCGCUAUCAUCCAGAAGGCAAGGUCAGUACAGAUGCAUCAAAGCUGGGACCGAGAGACUGAAAAACAGCUUCUAUCUCAAGGCCUUCAGACUGCUAAACGGCCAUCAUUAGCACAUCAGGAGUGGCUACCUAUAGACAUAGAUUAGGAAUCAUUGGCCACUUUUAGAAAUGGAUCACUAGCCACUGUAAUAAUGUUCCAUAUCUAGCAUUGCUCAUCUCAUAUGUAUUAACUGCACUCCACACUAUUCUAUAGUGUCUUAGUCAUUUUUAAAUUGUGUUGACAUACUGCAUCAUCCAUUUCAUAUGUAUAUACUGUAUUGUAUUCUAUACUACACCACUGACUGUUAAACAGCCAUCUCCAGCACAUCAGAGGCUGCUGCCUAUAGACAUAGAUUAGGAAUCACUGGCCACUUUAAGGAAAUGAAACACGAGCCACUUUAAUAAUGUCUCCGUAUCUUCCAUCACCCAUCUCAUAUGUAAACUGUAUUCUAUACUGUUCUACGGUUUCUUAGUCACUUUAAUUGUUUGUAAAUAUUGCAUCACCCAUCUCAUAUGUAAACUGUAUUCUAUACUGUUCUACGGUUUCUUAGUCACUUUAAUUGUUUGUAAAUAUUGCAUCACCCAUCUCAUAUGUAAACUGUAUUCUAUACUGUUCUACGGUUUCUUAGUCACUUUAAUUGUUUGUAAAUAUUGCAUCACCCAUCUCAUAUGUACAUACUGUAUUCUAUACUAUGUGACUGUAUCUUAGUCACUUUAAUUGUUUGUAAAUAUUCCAUCACCCAUCUCAUAUGUACAUACUGUAUUCUAUACUGUUCUACGGUUUCUUAGUCACUUUAAUUGUUUGUAAAUAUUGCAUCACCCAUCUCAUAUGUACAUACUGUAUUCUAUACUAUGUGACUGUAUCUUAGUCACUUUAAUUGUUUGUAAAUAUUCCAUCACCCAUCUCAUAUGUACAUACUGUAUUCUAUACUGUUCUACGGUUUCUUAGUCACUUUAAUUGUUUGUAAAUAUUGCAUCACCCAUCUCAUAUGUACAUACUGUAUUCUAUACUAUGUGACUGUAUCUUAGUCACUUUAAUUGUUUGUAAAUAUUCCAUCACCCAUCUCAUAUGUACAUACUGUAUUCUAUACUGUUCUACGGUUUCUUAGUCACUUUAAUUGUUUGUAAAUAUUGCAUCACCCAUCUCAUAUGUAUAUACUAUAUUCUAUACUAUGUGACUGUAUCUUAGUCACUUUAAUUGUUUGUAAAUAUUGCAUCACCCAUCUCAUAUGUAUAUACUGUAUUCUAUACUAUGUGACUGUCUCUUAGUCCAAUGCUGCUCUGACACAUGUGUAUAUAUGUUCUCAAUCCUUUCCUUACUUAGAUUUACAUGUUUUUUGGGAUAUAUGUUGUGAAACUGUUAGAUAUUACUGCACUGUCGGCGCUAGAAGCACAAGCAUUUCGCUACACUGCAACCAAUAAAAUCUGAUUUGAUUUGAAGGCCUUCAGCGGUCCUCAUCAGGUUGGAACUACUUUCGA